GGACUUGCGGAGCAGCGACUUCAGAGAGUUCAUGAAUGGAAGUCACAGACAGACCAGCGACUGCAGCCACCUCCAGGCAUUUCUUAAAGGGGAGGGUUGUGUGCUUUUUCCAGGGUAUUCUGGUAGCAGUUUGAUUCUCUUGCUUUUAUUUUAAUUUCCAUAAUUGGUAGCUUCAGAAAUGGCUUUGGAAGGCAAUUUGCUUUAAAUGUAGCCACCUAUUCCAAAAUGCCCUGGUUAUUUUAGGAACCCUACCCUUUUCCUCCGGAGCUCUCUCGCAGGAGUUCUUCUUUUGGACUGGUCCAGGAGGAGAAGCGCUACAAAGCAGCCACUGUGCUUACUGAACGGCCUCCCCCUGUAUCGCUUGAUUGAGAAGGUAUACAAAUGCUCUCAGUCCAGCCAGACACCAAGCCGAAAGGUUGUGCUGGCUGCAACCGAAAGAUCAAGGACCGGUAUCUUCUAAAGGCACUGGACAAAUACUGGCAUGAAGACUGCCUGAAGUGUGCCUGCUGUGACUGUCGCUUGGGAGAGGUGGGCUCCACCCUGUACACUAAAGCUAAUCUUAUCCUUUGUCGCAGAGACUAUCUGAGGUAGGAAUUAUCCUUGCACACCAGUGAUGACUGGAUGCCUUUUAAAGUACUUUUGUAAGUGUAUUUUUUGUUUGCUUGUUUGAUUUCCUUACUGCCAGCUUAUAUUCCUGAAAGAAGUUGACCUGUCAGCCUUCAAAGUGUUGCCCUGUGUGUGUUACUCAAAUUAAUGCUUAAGGAAUAGCCAGCAAACCACAAUAUUUAAAGUAUUUCAAUUGGGCUUGCCUGCACACUCAGGCAAUUGGUUAUGGCGCUGCCUAUAUUGAAACUGCCAGUUAAUGUCAAGGAUGUAUUUGGUCGAAAUCAGCAUUCAGGUUGAUUUACUUAUUUUUGCUUUUUUUUUUUUUUUUUUUUUUUUGGAGCUUAAGGGGGAAUGGGGGUUGAGCAUAACACAAAGAAAUUAAUCAGCCAUUUGGCAAAGUAUCUUAACUAUUUUUCAAAAGUUCAACUUGAAAAAAAAUGGACUGUGUAAAACAGUUUAAUUGUUGCCUCUAAGUUGGACCUGAAUUUAGUCUUCUAAAGUUAUUCAGCUGUCUUCUCUGUUUCAAGUGUGUCAGAGGAAGUCAGGUGCAAAUCCUUGGUUAAUAUCUAUUAGUGCAUUUAUUGUAGAGUUUUGAAAACUUUCCCCAAGUGUAGAUACAUCUUCCUCCUGCCCCACCUCAUGACAUUCUAAACGGGAAUCUCAAAAAUACAACUAAGCAAUUGAACCGCCUCAGACUUGCCAGUAGUUUUAUGGAUAAUAACAAAGUAAAGACCUCCAUCAUUAUAGGAAAAUGACAGCCACCCUCCAACCUGUAAACAUCUGAAUGCUUUCAGGACAAGGCAGGUGUUCUUGGUUAUGGAGCUAUGAAGCCUACUAAAGCUUGUUUUCCAGCAUUAAGUACUCAACACAGAAUUUCUGCUGAAGGAAAAUUAUUUUGCUUUUCAGGCAACUUUGUGACUUACUUCAGCUGCAAAUUACUUAUAUUAAUAAAGUAGGAUCUAUCAAAUUAGAGAAAUGAUAUAUGGCAUCAUUGGGAUUUUCAUAUUUAAUACAAUUAAUCAUUUUCUGGUCUGACAUUAAGCGAUUUAUUUGGAAUUUUUUCCCUUAUGACAAAAUUUAUCAAUCAACGGUAACUCCUUUAGUACCUUGGUCAUUUGGUGAGGUGUUUUCUAGGGAAUUUGGUCGUUCUUAGUAUAUAAUUCAGCUAUUUUCAGUCAGAUCCAAUCUUUAGAUAUAAAAAUAUAUCAUUUGAUUAGUGGUAGUUACAAGAGGGUGAAAGCAGUACUGUUUAUCAGAUUCUACUCCUUCUCGCUCUUAGGACGGCCUCAUCUGACAGCCUCCUGACUAAUUAUGGCCACUUGUUACUACUUCUCUGUGUUCCAAGUGCGUAAAACACAUGCAAGGUGCCAACAAUGAGAAGUCACUCUCUCCAGCCAGGAUUUCCCUCAUUGUGUUGGCACAACUAAUCAAAAUUAAUGUAUAAUGUUCAUUCUUUUAGAACUCUCUGGUCUUUGAACUUUCCUCUUUGAAAUAAAAAUUUCUCUUCUGCCCAUUGUGAAUUAGAGCCUCAUUUCCACAUAAAGCAUUUGUAUUUGCUUUUAGUGAUUUAAUACUGCUUUUUAGUUUUGCUUUAUCUGUACUAACCAAUAGUCAUAGCUUUUUGACUCCUUUUGACUUUUACAUUUGUUUGUAAUUUCAGUAUCUCAAGUAGAUUUAUGUUACCAUUUCAAAUAAGGAGUUUAUAUAGCCCGGGCAAUGUUAAGGUGUUUUAAUAAACCAAAGGACAAAAAUUAAGUAAACUUGAAAGAAUGUCAACUGAAAUAUCUGGGGGUUUUGAAAACAAAAAUAAAAAUUUGCCAAGGAAAUAUCUAUAUUGUGAGUAUAACAUGCUUCUUAGCUGUCAACAUAGCAUCGAGCAAAGACAGUAAUCUUAGAUUUGUUUUGUUUUCUUUUUCCUUGUGGUAGUAAAAAUAUAUUUGAUAGUCUCAAGUGUUUAGCUAAAACGCAUUUAUCAAAAAUACUUUUCGUAUCAGAAGUUUUUGUAUCUCUAUAAGAGUGUAUGUGGCUUUUUGUAGAAUAACUUUCAGUUACCUCCUGAUAGGCUCAAACUUUUAAUGGUGGUUAACUUAUUAAAAGUAUAUAAUAUUCUUUCAAAUAUAAACCCUGGUCCUGAUUGCCAAUAUAUUCAUUUCUCAGAGUACGAUUUCCUCUUAAAUUGGUCAUUACCACAUUAAUGGCCAGUUGUUAUGUUAACAGCCUAACGGUUGUUAACAUUUCAAACUAAGUUGUUAACAGCAAUCUUGUCCCUUAUUUAAACUGAAAGUUUGUUGUAUAUAAUGUGACUUAUUUGGCAACUUCAUCAACACUUAAAAUUGCAGAAGUGAAGUGGAGAAUUGGUGUGUGUAAAACACUGUGUUACGUGUUAUAGAUUAUGCCGCAGAUGUGGUAUUUAGUUUUAUGUGGAAAGCAUGUGUCUCAGUGAAAUUGUGUAGAUGUUCAACAGCAUAUGUCUCUGAUUGGCAAAUUAAAAUAGUCUGAUUCUGUAUGGUAAAUCAACAAAUAUAGUCAAGCAGAUUUUAUUUACAAAUUAAUUUCUUUGAUUAGAUACAAAUAGUUGUUCAAAAAUGUUUAUUAAAUGCUUACUGUGUGAGAGGUAUGAUUUCAGGCAAUGGGUGAAAUUAGCUAAAGGAAAAAGGAAGGUACACCUAAAGUUGCCACUAUCUAAUUGUUUAUUUAAUUACAUAGAAUCUGUAAUAUAAUCAGUGAACAAGUAAUAUUCUGUGGUUAUUUUCCUGAGCUUUAAAAGUAAUUUUUCUCAUUUUCCUCCAAAUUCAGCAUACUUUCAUUUUGUAUUUUAUAUAACCAAUGUUUAAUCACUUAAGUUCUAUUUUAAAAGUUGUUUUAUUUUUGGCCCUUGGAUAUUAUGUAACUUCUCUGAGGCACCAAACUGAACAUAAAUAACUUACAUAUUUAUAUUUCAUGUCUAAAUUAUUAAGAACGUAAGUAAGAAUAAGGAAAGUAAUAAAAUAGUAAUUUGCCUGUCCACAUAUA
This 3618-nucleotide small RNA is filed under the name Pan troglodytes (chimpanzee). RNAcentral's name for it is "retained intron". Lineage: Eukaryota; Metazoa; Chordata; Mammalia; Primates; Hominidae. The record is from RNAcentral.